This 181-nucleotide ribosomal RNA is filed under the name uncultured Clostridium sp. RNAcentral's name for it is "partial 16S ribosomal RNA". The stretch from base 1 to 150 matches the Rfam family "Bacterial small subunit ribosomal RNA", at positions 348 to 537 of the family's 1533-position model. Lineage: Bacteria; Bacillati; Bacillota; Clostridia; Eubacteriales; Clostridiaceae. The record is from RNAcentral.
CCGGGAGGGGGGAAAUGUGAUGAGCACGCCGCGUGAGUGAUGAAGGUUUUCGGAUCGUAAAGCUCUGUCUUUGGGGAAGAUAGUGUCGGUGCCCAAGGACGAAGCCACUGCUAAUUACGUGCCAGCAGCCGCGGUAAUACUGCGUGCCAGCAGCCGCGGUAAUAAGGGACCCACCACCCCC